Molecule: non-coding RNA, 533 nt
Organism: Lactuca sativa (garden lettuce)
Lineage: Eukaryota; Viridiplantae; Streptophyta; Magnoliopsida; Asterales; Asteraceae
Source: RefSeq, a predicted model, not a curated record
AGUUCAAGUAAAGCGAAAGAUGGAAGAAGGAGAAUUCAUGAAGUAAAUCAGUGAAUUGAAAAUCAUAGUACAGUCGAUUUAAGUAUAUGACUUGUAAUAUUGAGGAGAAAUCAUUCUGGGUUGAACUGGGAGCCGAUUUAUUAGUCGAGGUGAAAACAUUGCAAAUAGGCAUCUGGCGAAUGUCAAAGAUUUGGUGAUAGCUUCAAGAAUGAAAAAUCCAUUUUAAUUGGGAAGGUCAUUGAAGAUGCAUCAUUAUAUUCCAAACCAUGUUACAGGUCAUUUUUUUUUAACUCGAGUGGGUGAGUUUUUCUAUGUGAACCUUGUAAAAUUGAAAAACACCAUGUCUUGUAUACACCACACUUUAAUAAAAUAAUCAAAUAAACAAACCGAAUGUUUCCUGUAAUUUAGGGAACCCAAGUGUCAAAGAUAUAACAUAAACUUUGGGGGCUACUUUGUGGACUUUAAGAAUCAUAUGUGAGGUAACAUAUUCACAAGUUCAUGUAUCAUUUAAUGUAGUUUUUUAAAUUCACAAG